AUUAAACGCUGGCGGCAUGCCUUACACAUGCAAGUCGAACGGCAGCAUGGGUGCUUGCACCUGAUGGCGAGUGGCGGACGGGUGAGUAAUACAUCGGAACGUGCCCUGAAGUGGGGGAUAACGCAGCGAAAGCUACGCUAAUACCGCAUAUUCUGUGAGCAGGAAAGCAGGGGAUCGCAAGACCUUGCGCUUUGGGAGCGGCCGAUGUCGGAUUAGCUAGUUGGUGGGGUAAAGGCCUACCAAGGCGACGAUCCGUAGCGGGUCUGAGAGGAUGAUCCGCCACACUGGGACUGAGACACGGCCCAGACUCCUACGGGAGGCAGCAGUGGGGAAUUUUGGGACAAUGGGCGGAAGCCUGAUCCAGCCAUGCCGCGUGAGUGAAGAAGGCCUUCGGGUUGU
This 399-nucleotide ribosomal RNA is filed under the name uncultured bacterium. RNAcentral describes it as "bacterial SSU rRNA". It matches the Rfam family "Bacterial small subunit ribosomal RNA", at positions 30 to 426 of the family's 1533-position model. The record is from RNAcentral.